AUACGGAGGAUCCGAGCGUUAUCCGGAUUUAUUGGGUUUAAAGGGUGCGCAGGCGGCCAUUUAAGUCAGCGGUUAAAUCGUGGGGCUCAACCCCAUUCUGCCGUUGAUACUGGGUGGCUUGAUUUCGGUCGAGGUUGGCGGAAUUCGUUGUGUAGCGGUGAAAUGCAUAGAUAUGACGAAGAACACCGAUUGCGUAGGCAGCUGACCAGACCGCAAAUGACGCUCAUGCACGAAAGUGCGGGGAUCGAACAGGAUUAGAUACCCUGGUAGUCCGCACAGUAAACGAUGAAUACUUGUUUUCGGCGAUAUAAUGUCGGAGGCAAAGCGAAAGCGAUAAGUAUUCCACCUGGGGAGUACGCCGGCAACGGUGAAACUCAAAGGAAUUGACGGGG
RNAcentral lists this ribosomal RNA (392 nucleotides) under uncultured bacterium. Its description in RNAcentral is "partial 16S ribosomal RNA". It matches the Rfam family "Bacterial small subunit ribosomal RNA", at positions 523 to 918 of the family's 1533-position model. The record is from RNAcentral.